UGAGCUUGAUCCUGGCUCAGAUUGAACGCUGGCGGCAUGCUUUACACAUGCAAGUCGAACGGUAACAGGCAGCUUGCUGCGCUGACGAGUGGCGAACGGGUGAGUAAUACAUCGGAAUGUACCCAGUAAUGGGGGAUAACGCUUCGAAAGGAGUGCUAAUACCGCAUACGCCCUAAGGGGGAAAGAGGGGGACUCGCAAGAGCCUCUUGUUAUUGGAGCAGCCGAUGGCUGAUUAGCUAGUUGGUAGGGUAAAGGCCUACCAAGGCAACGAUCAGUAGCGGGUCUUAGAGGACGAUCCGCCACACUGGAACUGAGACACGGUCCAGACUCCUACGGGAGGCAGCAGUGGGGAAUCUUGGACAAUGGGCGAAAGCCUGAUCCAGCAAUGCCGCGUGCGUGAAGAAGGCCUUCGGGUUGUAAAGCGCUUUUGUUAGGGAGCAAAUCCUUGUGGCCAAUACCCACCGGGGAUGAGAGUACCUAAG
This 482-nucleotide ribosomal RNA is filed under the name Deefgea sp. 01WB02.1-81. RNAcentral's name for it is "bacterial SSU rRNA". It matches the Rfam family "Bacterial small subunit ribosomal RNA", at positions 1 to 483 of the family's 1533-position model. The record is from RNAcentral. Lineage: Bacteria; Pseudomonadati; Pseudomonadota; Betaproteobacteria; Neisseriales; Chitinibacteraceae.